CCCCACCCCAGCUUCUGAUCCCAGAGACAGGCCUCCUGACAACCUCUUUCCCACCUCACAAACAAGGGCUGCAUACAGCAUAGCGGGUUGGCAGAGCCAACUGAAGCUUUAUUUUGAAAAAAAAAGAUACUCGAAUUGGAUUUAUUCUGAAAAAGACGCUUACAUUGGCUUUUAGGUGGGGUCAUGGGCGAAAGGGGCAACCCCAGGCAGUCGACUCCCCCCAGGUGUGGGCGGAGGACAGGGGCGAAACCUCAGGUCUCCUGUGCAGAUGCUCCCCUGCACAGCUCCAUCUGCAGGAGCCAAUGAGCCGGAGAGGCUGGGAGGGACCGCAGGAGCCUUUCACUUGGACAGGACAUCAGAGGACUCGGACACCAGCUUCCCAUCGCGGGUCUCAAUCUUCUUCACAACCACAGCCUUGGAACUGGUGCGGCUGAAGGAGCCGGGGCUCAGGCUGUAGUUGAAGCCAGGGGUCCCGUAGGACGAAGUCAGUCCACCUGGUCAGGAAAAGACAGCCACGUGAGUAUGGGAGGCUGUGCUCACAUCAGGUGCUUGCCGUUCCCCCUAUCUCCCUGACACUCCAGAAGUGGUCCUCAGGGAGGGGGAACUGCCCUGGUUCACUUCUCCAAGCUGACUGGGCGAAAACCAGGAGCAGGGUGGGACAGGGUCUUGCUAUUAGCUAUGUGACCUUGGGGAGAUGUUAGAGACUUGGGUUCGAGUCCUGGGUCAGGAAAACUCCCUGGAGGAGGGCGUAGCAACCCACUCCAGUAUUCUUGCCUGGAGAAUCCCACAGACAGAGAAGCCUGGUGGGCUACAGUCCGUAGGGUCACAAAGACUCGGACAUGACUGAGUGAGCACACAUACGCAUGCGUGUGACCUUGGACAGGACAUUUAGCUGGGCCCCAGCUUCCUCAGCUGUACCAGAGGGACCCGCAGAGGAGCUGCCCUCCGGCCCUUCCCCCAAGACACGGACACUCACCUGCGUAGCCACUGGUGGUCUUGGUGUGGAUACUCAUGUUCUGCAUCCCAGACUCCAGCCUGCUCUCCUCGCCCUCCAGCAGCUUCCUGUAGGUGGCAAUCUCCACGUCCAGGGCCAGCUUGACAUUCAUGAGCUCCUGGUACUCGCGCAGCUGCCGCGCCAUGUCCUGCUUGGCGUUCCUCAGAGCGGCCUCCAGCUCGGCCAGCUUGGCCUGAGCAUCCUUAACAGCCAUCUCACCACGCUGCUCAGCGUCAGCGAUGGCAGCCUCCAGGGAAGCCCUCUGUCGGGGGAGGGGACAAGCAAGCAGGUAAAGCAGAGGCCGGUUGCCUCCUCUCCUUCUCCGCCUGCACCCACUCUCUCUUUCCCCUCCUUUAGGGACCCCCUCUCCACAACCUGGACUAACCAACUCCACCCACCUUAUUCCAAGAAAAUGUUAGAGGGGACUUUCGUCAUGGUCCAGUGGUUAAAAAUCUGCCUUGCAACACAGGGAUUGAUCCCUGAUCAGGGAACUAAGAUCCCACAUGUCAGCUACUGAGCCCGUAUGCUCUGGAGCCCACGAGACACAGAGAGUGCACGUGUCAUAACUAAGACUCAAAGCAGCCAAAUAAAUAAUUUUUUUUUAAAAGGGAAGAAAAUGUU
This is a long non-coding RNA of Bos indicus x Bos taurus (hybrid cattle), 1615 nucleotides long. The record is from Ensembl. NCBI's taxonomy places the organism in Eukaryota, Metazoa, Chordata, Mammalia, Artiodactyla, Bovidae.